CAAACUGACAUUCAUUUUUCUACUUUACCCAUUCAAAUCCCAUACCAUUCUUUUAAUCAAAUUCUUCUCUCAUAGCAAUUAAUUAUUCCGAUUUCCAAUUCAUCAUUCGUGGAAUCAGCAGUCUUCUUCAUCGAUUACAAAGAGCAUCAAAAUUCAUUUUCCUUUCUUAUUCUCUCUCUCUAUCUCACGCCACUCUCCCUUCUUUUUCUUUUCAGUUUCAAACAAAAACAAAGCUGAUGAUGACGAUGUAAAGAGGAGGCAGCGGACUGAAAAGGGUUGAGGAGAAGGCGUUGCAGGAUUGAAGAUUGAGAGGUUGUGGUCACGGUGGUGGUGAAGUAGACGGGUGAGGGAGGAGAAGCAAGACACGCCGUUGCAAACUGAAGAGAAUUCUAUCACGGCACAAUAUUGAUAACCCUAAGCUAUAUCAAAAUUUCAGAAUCUGAAGGUCUCAAGUGAAAUUAAGCAUGGAGAUGUGUUCAUGAGUAACUCAGGAUCAUUCAUGGAUAUUCAAUUUGCAAGAAACACAAAGAAAAUGGGUAAAUUGCAUUGAAGCUCAAGAUGAACGUAAGCCCUAAUUUCUGAAUUAAAUGGUGACAAGCAAAGGAAUGAGUAAACAGACAUGGGAGAAUGUUCAGCUUAAAGAAGUCUAUAGACCAGUAUCAAGAGUUCUCAGAAAAUCAGACUUAUGAUUCCCGGAGGUUUUCGAUUUAGGUUUAUGAUUUUGGUAUCUCUCUGUCGACGGGAAAUGGCAGGAACAACAAUUUUGCCACUUGAACAUUCAUGAGUAUCAGGUUUCUCUUGAUUCAUUUCCAAGAUUGUUAAUCUUCACUAUAGGCUUAGCAAGGCUCAAAUGAAAUCCAGGCUAAGUGUUUUAUGGUGUUACAAGUACAAGUUUGAACCGAGCAGGUUUAUCAUUGUUUUGAGUUUUAUCAAUUUCAAGAUUAUUCAUCUUCUUUAUCGAUCCGUAUCAAAGAACUAUGUCCCAGCUCAUUGCCAAGACCUAAUGGCCAGCCUGCCUGAGUAAUGUUGAUUGCUUGUUUGUCCAGUGCUGGAACUUGUCCUUUUGCUUGCAUAUUUGCUCAAAUUCACACUGCUUUCUGACUUUUUUUUAAAACUAUAAAAGUGUUGUGUAUAUUGACAAAUAGCAAAUUUGUAUGUGGAUCUUGUGAUUGCACCAAAUUACUCAUAUCUUGAUUGCACCAAAUUACUCACAUCUUAACUUUCAAUGGAAUAGGAA
Long non-coding RNA from Vicia villosa (hairy vetch), 1237 nucleotides. RefSeq lists it as uncharacterized. Lineage: Eukaryota; Viridiplantae; Streptophyta; Magnoliopsida; Fabales; Fabaceae. The transcript has 4 exons. The record is from RefSeq and is a predicted model, not a curated record.